AGAAACAAUAAUGAAAAUUAUUGACAAGAAGACCCUAAGAAUUUUUUUAAUUUAAUUAAAAAAUUUUUUAAUUAAAUUCUUUAAUUGGGGCGAUUAAUAAAAAUUAAAAACUUUGUUUUUUUAAAAAAGAACCAAUAAUAUUGNAAAUAUGAUAAAAAUACUCUAGGGAUAACAGCGUAAU
RNAcentral lists this ribosomal RNA (181 nucleotides) under Amblyomma nodosum. Its description in RNAcentral is "partial large subunit ribosomal RNA". The record is from RNAcentral. Lineage: Eukaryota; Metazoa; Arthropoda; Arachnida; Ixodida; Ixodidae.